RNAcentral lists this ribosomal RNA (1464 nucleotides) under Lactiplantibacillus plantarum. Its description in RNAcentral is "bacterial SSU rRNA". It matches the Rfam family "Bacterial small subunit ribosomal RNA". The record is from RNAcentral. Lineage: Bacteria; Bacillati; Bacillota; Bacilli; Lactobacillales; Lactobacillaceae.
AGGGGGGGCCCUAAUACAUGCCAAGUCGAACGAACUCUGGUAUUGAUUGGUGCUUGCAUCAUGAUUUACAUUUGAGUGAGUGGCGAACUGGUGAGUAACACGUGGGAAACCUGCCCAGAAGCGGGGGAUAACACCUGGAAACAGAUGCUAAUACCGCAUAACAACUUGGACCGCAUGGUCCGAGUUUGAAAGAUGGCUUCGGCUAUCACUUUUGGAUGGUCCCGCGGCGUAUUAGCUAGAUGGUGGGGUAACGGCUCACCAUGGCAAUGAUACGUAGCCGACCUGAGAGGGUAAUCGGCCACAUUGGGACUGAGACACGGCCCAAACUCCUACGGGAGGCAGCAGUAGGGAAUCUUCCACAAUGGACGAAAGUCUGAUGGAGCAACGCCGCGUGAGUGAAGAAGGGUUUCGGCUCGUAAAACUCUGUUGUUAAAGAAGAACAUAUCUGAGAGUAACUGUUCAGGUAUUGACGGUAUUUAACCAGAAAGCCACGGCUAACUACGUGCCAGCAGCCGCGGUAAUACGUAGGUGGCAAGCGUUGUCCGGAUUUAUUGGGCGUAAAGCGAGCGCAGGCGGUUUUUUAAGUCUGAUGUGAAAGCCUUCGGCUCAACCGAAGAAGUGCAUCGGAAACUGGGAAACUUGAGUGCAGAAGAGGACAGUGGAACUCCAUGUGUAGCGGUGAAAUGCGUAGAUAUAUGGAAGAACACCAGUGGCGAAGGCGGCUGUCUGGUCUGUAACUGACGCUGAGGCUCGAAAGUAUGGGUAGCAAACAGGAUUAGAUACCCUGGUAGUCCAUACCGUAAACGAUGAAUGCUAAGUGUUGGAGGGUUUCCGCCCUUCAGUGCUGCAGCUAACGCAUUAAGCAUUCCGCCUGGGGAGUACGGCCGCAAGGCUGAAACUCAAAGGAAUUGACGGGGGCCCGCACAAGCGGUGGAGCAUGUGGUUUAAUUCGAAGCUACGCGAAGAACCUUACCAGGUCUUGACAUACUAUGCAAAUCUAAGAGAUUAGACGUUCCCUUCGGGGACAUGGAUACAGGUGGUGCAUGGUUGUCGUCAGCUCGUGUCGUGAGAUGUUGGGUUAAGUCCCGCAACGAGCGCAACCCUUAUUAUCAGUUGCCAGCAUUAAGUUGGGCACUCUGGUGAGACUGCCGGUGACAAACCGGAGGAAGGUGGGGAUGACGUCAAAUCAUCAUGCCCCUUAUGACCUGGGCUACACACGUGCUACAAUGGAUGGUACAACGAGUUGCGAACUCGCGAGAGUAAGCUAAUCUCUUAAAGCCAUUCUCAGUUCGGAUUGUAGGCUGCAACUCGCCUACAUGAAGUCGGAAUCGCUAGUAAUCGCGGAUCAGCAUGCCGCGGUGAAUACGUUCCCGGGCCUUGUACACACCGCCCGUCACACCAUGAGAGUUUGUAACACCCAAAGUCGGUGGGGUAACCUUUUAGGAACCAGCCGCCUUAAGGGGA